AAAAAAUAAAUAAAUAAAAAACUCUAUCCACCACAACAAACAUGAAACUGAGAGAGAUUUCAUAAAGUCUUCAGUUUAUUUGAUCACUUGGUACGGCUCAUCAAGACACAAGAGUUUGCAAAAGAAGACAGUAGAUACCAAAAUAGUUAGUGAUAUAAGGGGGAAAAUAUAUGCCUGCUCGGACCACAUUAUGUGUCCAGGGGUACGACCACGAACUUAUCGCCCAAAUAGAGAGGUCGUAGCCGACCAUAGAGUGAUUGGUCCCCUAGGGUAAGCCCAGGGCCAAUGCUCUCAUGACCUAAAUACUAUGACUACAGCCAUUCAAAACUAGCUCUGCCAAUUCUCCUAAACAGCCUACACUCUUCCAUGAGUACCAUAAAAAUCUAGCUCAAUUGCCUUGUACACCAAGUCACCUCAAGCCGGCUGGGAGUAUUAAAUAAAUAGCUGACUGGGCGCAUUUAAUAUCCUGGAACUCAAGGACUUUCCACUCAGACAAAGUACUAACACAGCUACUCUACAAAGACCUAGAUCCUAAGGUAAUUGUCACUAACAUGCCAAGGUAUAAAAAUGACGUCUACUAUUUAUAGGUAUGAUAGACAAGAAUCUUAGCCAAAACAUGCACCAAUCUAAUAAUGCCCGCGAAUUGUCCACUGGCUCUACUUAGCAUUCCGAUAGCUCAAAGAAACUUAGUUUGUACUGGGUGAAGGUAUUGAUCAAAGGAACAUUAAGCAUCCUGUCACUUGAGCAUGUGUUCCUUAUUUUCAAUAGGCAAAACUUCUAGCUCAGCUCAAAGAAACUUAGUUUGUAUUGGGUGAAGGUAUUGAUCAAAGGAACAUUAAGCAUCCUGUCACUUGAGCAUGUGUUCCUUAUUUUCAAUAGGCAAAACUUCUAGCUCAGCUCAAAGAAACUUAGUUUGUAUUGGGUGAAGGUAUUGAUCAAAGGAACAAUAAUCAUCCUGUCAUAGCACUCCAAAAAAGAAAAAACACAGCAACAAAUUACAGAAUGUAAUCCCAACAUUUGAGAAGGAUCUGAAUCCAAUUGGUAAAUUUCUUAGCAGGACAAUUUA
Molecule: unclassified non-coding RNA, 1066 nt
Filed under: Hevea brasiliensis (rubber tree)
Lineage: Eukaryota; Viridiplantae; Streptophyta; Magnoliopsida; Malpighiales; Euphorbiaceae
Source: RNAcentral